CUUCCAGACUCCUACGGGAGGCAGCAGUGGGGAAUAUUGGGCAAUGGGCGCAAGCCUGACCCAGCAACGCCGCGUGAAAGAAGAAGGCUUUCGGGUUGUAAACUUCUUUUGUCAGGGACGAAGCAAGUGACGGUACCUGACGAAUAAGCCACGGCUAACUACGUGCCAGCAGCCGCGGUAAUACGUAGGUGGCAAGCGUUAUCCGGAUUUAUUGGGUGUAAAGGGCGUGUAGGCGGGAAUGCAAGUCAGAUGUGAAAUCCGGGGGCUCAACCCCCGAACUGCAUUUGAAACUGUUGGUCUUGAGUAUCGGAGAGGCAGGCGGAAUUCCUAGUGUAGCGGUGAAAUGCGUAGAUAUUAGGAGGAACACCAGUGGCGAAGGCGGCCUGCUGGACGACAACUGACGGUGAGGCGCGAAAGCGUGGGGAGCAAACAGGAUUAGAUACCCCCGUAC
This 451-nucleotide ribosomal RNA is filed under the name uncultured bacterium. RNAcentral describes it as "bacterial SSU rRNA". It matches the Rfam family "Bacterial small subunit ribosomal RNA", at positions 328 to 793 of the family's 1533-position model. The record is from RNAcentral.